AUUGAACGCUGGCGGCAUGCCUUACACAUGCAAGUCGAACGGCAGCACGGGUGCUUGCACCUGGUGGCGAGUGGCGAACGGGUGAGUAAUACAUCGGAACGUACCUUAUCGUGGGGGAUAACGCAGCGAAAGCUGUGCUAAUACCGCAUACGCCCUGAGGGGGAAAGCGGGGGAUCGAAAGACCUCGCGCGAUUAGAGCGGCCGAUGCCUGAUUAGCUUGUUGGUGGGGUAAAAGCCCACCAAGGCGACGAUCAGUAGCUGGUCUGAGAGGACGAUCCGCCACACUGGGGCUGGGACACGGCCCAGACUCCGACGGGAUGAAGCAGUGGGGAAUUUUGGACAAUGGGGGCAACCCUGAUCCAGCGAUGCCGCGUGAGUGAAAAAGGCCUUCGGGUUGUAAAGCUCUUUUGUCAGGGAAGAAACACCGGCUCUAACACAGUCCGGGAAUGACGGUACCUGAAGAAUAAGCACCGGCUAACUACGUGCCAGCCGCCGCCGUAA
This 501-nucleotide ribosomal RNA is filed under the name uncultured bacterium. RNAcentral's name for it is "partial 16S ribosomal RNA". It matches the Rfam family "Bacterial small subunit ribosomal RNA", at positions 29 to 523 of the family's 1533-position model. The record is from RNAcentral.